This is a long non-coding RNA of Glycine soja, 1377 nucleotides long. RefSeq lists it as uncharacterized. The record is from RefSeq and is a predicted model, not a curated record. Lineage: Eukaryota; Viridiplantae; Streptophyta; Magnoliopsida; Fabales; Fabaceae. The transcript is spliced from 3 exons.
CAUAACUAUGAAUUAAAUGCUAAUUUGACAAAUGCAUUAUUAGUUGCACAUUAUAGAUUGCAGGGGGAACCCAAUUCUCCUUCAUAUCUUUCUCAUCCAACGACAAAUAUGAUACAAAGCAAGAGAAAUUGAGACUUUCCUAGCCUCUUAUAUAUGCUGAUAGUGGAACAAAAUAAAAUAUCCUUUAAAGUCACAAGCAAGCACAGCAUUCAAAUGCUGAAAAUUGAAGUUCUAAGGCCAUUGUGCUUCUUCUUCUCUUCCUCCUCCAAACCUUCACAAAUAACUUCUUAAAUACAUAGUGGUAGAGCUAUGAUUUCAAAAUGACAGUACUUUUCAAACCUCCAAGGUCUUGCUUGUGAAUAGAAGGUUAUUUGCCACCAAUGUGGUUACUGUGAUCAAAGAAUGAAUGGUUAGCUGGAAAAACUAAUCAUCAUGAAAAGUUUUUGGGGGUUCAAGUGUUAGAAGACAGAGAAAGAGCCAUUUUAGAUGAAGAGACCUUAAUGUCAUGAGGAAAACAUGACCUGGCAUUGAUUUGGAUGGAUUCUGGGGUCUUAAUCAUCUGAGAUCUUGCAUGUGAACAUGAGAUAUGAUGCUGCAGCCAAGGAUGACUUGCCGAUAAAUUCUUUCUCUAAUUUGACUUUCAAUUCAUGUUUGUCAAUUGAUAGUGCAUUAGUUCUAAUAUAUGCAUUUGAUUAUAUAGAACACUAUUGUGAAAGUGUCUUUAGGGAUAGGGUAAAUUCGGCAAGUCAUCUUUGGCUACAUGUCUAUCUCAUGUUAAUAUGUCAGAUUCAGGAUGAUAAUUGAUUAAUGGCCUUCACAAUGAUGGAUGAGGGCUAUGGAGGGAGCAUGUGUGAAUUUUCAAUGCAAAUCUAAUUCUAAGAGGUAAGUUCUUAUUCUAUACAUCAUUUAACAAUCUUCAUUGAAACAAAGCUACCUGAUUUUUGUGUUUGAGAAUUCAUUAGGAAAAGGGGCUUUGAUUAUGUGGUACUAGUUGCAAAGCCAUCAUUCAUAGCAGCCAGGACAAAAUCUCUGUUUCUAGGGACAAGGAGGACAUGUCCAAAUUCCUAGUUUGAUUGGCUUACUAAGUUGUUUGGCCCUUCUUUAGUUUAAUCACGAUUCUUGCAAGUGCCAGCUAAAAGUAGUUCAAUCCAUUGGCAAAAUGGUGUGCAAGAACAAUGAUGGCACAGAACAAUGUCACUCUUACAGCAAAUCAAAUAUUGUUAUUUGAGAAGAGAAUUAUUUGUAAUAAGUUGAGGUUGCCCCGGACAUGGGUGAUAUGAUCAGAUGGUGAUUGGUGCCCUUACUAUGAAUAGUCACCAAACGAAUGAAGUUGACCUUAUUGGACAAUUAUAUAUAGGAAAGCGUAUAUGUUGCUUA